CCGGCCGUCGAAAUUGAGGAGCGAAUUACUGUCUACUGACAACUUGUGAGACCACCCCCACAACGCAACUCGGAAGAUUCAUGUGACCGCAUCCAAUAGAAGGAAGGAAACCAGGGAAUAUUCUCAGUUUUUGUCGGCAGUUGAAUUGGAGGGGUGAAUUUCUGUAUACGGACAACUUGUCAGACGAAGUCGGAAGAGCGUUGUGACUGCAUUCUUUGGAAGGAACAAAGACAGUGAAUAUUCCCAGGGUUUCAGUGGAGGGGCCGAUUACCGUCAACUUGUCAGAGCAGCCCAUGAACCUACAUGGAGCAGCGCUGCGAUUGCAUGCUGUAGAAGGAAGGCGGUGGAUAUGCUCGG
Long non-coding RNA from Cryptotermes secundus, 357 nucleotides. RefSeq lists it as uncharacterized. The transcript has 3 exons. The record is from RefSeq and is a predicted model, not a curated record. NCBI's taxonomy places the organism in Eukaryota, Metazoa, Arthropoda, Insecta, Blattodea, Kalotermitidae.